RNAcentral lists this unclassified non-coding RNA (216 nucleotides) under Glomus sp. Its description in RNAcentral is "partial contains 5.8S ribosomal RNA and internal transcribed spacer 2". The stretch from base 1 to 71 matches the Rfam family "5.8S ribosomal RNA", at positions 84 to 154 of the family's 154-position model. Lineage: Eukaryota; Fungi; Glomeromycota; Glomeromycetes; Glomerales; Glomeraceae. The record is from RNAcentral.
GUGAAUCAUCAAAUUUUUGAACGCAAAUUGCACUCUCUGGUAUUCCGGAGAGUAUGCCCGUUUGAGGGUCAGUUUAAAUAAAAAUCGGUGUGGUUGCUGCCUUUCGUGGUGACGCACCGGAUUUGGGUCGUCUUGCCUUCGGUUAAGUGACCUAAAAUUUUGCAUGAUUUUUUUCGAACGAAUUUAAAUGAUUUACGUUACUUUUCGGUUUAGAAA